GAGAGUUUGGAUCCUGGCUCAGGAUUAACGCUGGCGGCAUGCCUAAUACAUGCAAGUCGAUCGGAUGUAGCAAUACAUUAGAGGCGAACGGGUGAGUAACACGUAUCCAAUCUGCCUUAUAGUGGGGGAUAACUAGUCGAAAGAUUAGCUAAUACCGCAUAACAAGUUACCUAUCGCAUGAGAAUAACUUUAAAGGAGCAACUGCUUCGCUAUAAGAUGAGGGUGCGGCAUAUCAGCUAGUUGGUGAGGGUAAUGGCCCACCAAGGCGAUGACGUGUAGUUAUGCUGAGAGGUAGAAUAACCACAAUGGGACUGAGACACGGCCCAUACUCCUACGGGAGGCAGCAGUAGGGAAUUUUUCACAAUGGACGAAAGUCUGAUGGAGCAAUGCCGCGUGAACGAUGAAGGUCUUUUUAGAUUGUAAAGUUCUUUUAUUUGGGAAGAACAGUUAAUAGAGUGGAAAGCUAUUAAUUUGACUGUACCAUUUGAAUAAGUAACGACUAACUAUGUGCCAGCAGUCGCGGUAAUACAUAGGUUGCAAGCGUUAUCCGGAUUUAUUGGGCGUAAAACAAGCGCAGGCGGAUUAGAAAGUCUGGUGUUAAAAGCAAUUGCUUAACGAUUGUAUGCAUUGGAAACUUCUAGUCUAGAGUUUGGUAGAGAGUCCUGGAACUCCAUGUGGAGCGGUGAAAUGCGUAGAUAUAUGGAAGAACACCAGAGGCGAAGGCGAGGACUUGGGCCAAUACUGACGCUUAGGCUUGAAAGUGUGGGGAGCAAAUAGGAUUAGAUACCCUAGUAGUCCACACUGUAAACGAUGGAUGUUAAGUGUCGGAGCGAAUACUUCGGUGCUGCAGUUAACACAUUAAACAUCCUGCCUGAGUAGUACAUUCGCAAGAAUGAAACUCAAACGGAAUUGACGGGGACCCGCACAAGUGGUGGAGCAUGUUGCUUAAUUCGACGGUACACGAAAAACCUUACCUAGACUUGACAUCUUGGGCGAAGCUAUAGAAAUAUAGUGGAGGUUAACCCAAUGACAGGUGGUGCAUGGUUGUCGUCAGCUCGUGUCGUGAGAUGUUGGGUUAAGUCCCGCAACGAGCGCAACCCUUAUCGUUAGUUACUUUGUCUAACGAGACUGCCAACGUAAGUUGGAGGAAGGUGGGGAUGACGUCAAAUCAUCAUGCCCCUUAUGUCUAGGGCUGCAAACGUGCUACAAUGGCCAAUACAAACAGUUGCAAAUCCGUAAGGUGGAGCUAAUCUGUAAAGUUGGUCUCAGUUCGGAUUGAGGGCUGCAAUUCGCCCUCAUGAAGUCGGAAUCACUAGUAAUCGCGAAUCAGCCAUGUCGCGGUGAAUACGUUCUCGGGUCUUGUACACACCGCCCGUCAAACUAUGAGAGCUGGUAAUAUCUAAAACCGUGUUGCUAACCGCAAGGAAGCGCAUGUCUAGGGUAGGGCCGGUGAUUGGAGUUAAGUCGUAACAAGGUACCCCUACGAGAACGUGGGGGUGGAUUACCUCCUUUCUAUGGAGUAUAUUAAUACACUAACACGAUAUACACCUGUUACAUAUAACGGUGAAACAAUUAAAACCCAGCAAGACAAGUUAAACCCAUUAAAGCAAAUUUAUAACUUAAAAAUUGUUGGUCGGAUUCUAUUCAGUUCUCAAGCAGCAUUUAAAAAAAUGUUAUUAAUUUCUUUUAGGCUUUUAAAAAUUAAUAACACUUUAAGUGAUUCUUUCAAAAUCAGAGAAGAGUAGAUUUCUUUGAUGAGAUAAACAAAAAAUCAUUGAUGCAUAAAAAUGUAAUCAAUGAUUUUUUUUAUUACUUUUACCGUCGAAUUGUUAAAUUUUUUAAUUUGGCUUCACGAUUUAAAAAUAUUCUUUAUACGAAUAGUAGGGAGUAACUAGGUUGUUAAAUUUGCUUUCUAGAACAAAAAUAAAAAUAUAGUUUCCUCUGCAAGCAUUAUUAUUUUCUAACUUAAGUUUUUUAUUCUUGCUCGCCUAAAAAAAUCUAAUAAAAAAGAUUUUUUAUAAAAGUAUUGUUAAAACUGAUUUGUUGUGCUAUAAUCUAUAAGGCUUAUAUAGCUACAUUGUUCUUUGAAAACUGAAUACGACAAAUCUUUCUAGUCCGAAAUUUGAUUAAAGUAUCAAAUCAAAUUUCAAAUAUAGAUUCAAUAAAAAUAGCU
RNAcentral lists this ribosomal RNA (2173 nucleotides) under Mycoplasma tullyi. Its description in RNAcentral is "partial contains 16S rRNA gene (partial) and 16S-23S intergenic spacer region". The stretch from base 1 to 1512 matches the Rfam family "Bacterial small subunit ribosomal RNA". The record is from RNAcentral. Lineage: Bacteria; Bacillati; Mycoplasmatota; Mollicutes; Mycoplasmatales; Mycoplasmataceae.